UACGAAGGGGGCUAGCGUUGCUCGGAAUUACUGGGCGUAAAGGGAGCGUAGGCGGGUUAUCAAGUUGGAGGUGAAAGCCCAGGGCUCAACCUUGGAAUUGCCUUCAAAACUGAUAGCCUAGAGUAUGAUAGAGGUAUGUGGAACUCCGAGUGUAGAGGUGAAAUUCGUAGAUAUUCGGAAGAACACCAGUGGCGAAGGCGACAUACUGGGUCAUGACUGACGCUGAGGCUCGAAAGCGUGGGGAGCAAACAGG
RNAcentral lists this ribosomal RNA (253 nucleotides) under uncultured bacterium. RNAcentral's name for it is "partial 16S ribosomal RNA". It matches the Rfam family "Bacterial small subunit ribosomal RNA", at positions 524 to 776 of the family's 1533-position model. The record is from RNAcentral.